Molecule: ribosomal RNA, 773 nt
Filed under: uncultured Neocallimastigales
Lineage: Eukaryota; Fungi; Neocallimastigomycota; Neocallimastigomycetes; Neocallimastigales
Description: partial large subunit ribosomal RNA
Rfam family: Eukaryotic large subunit ribosomal RNA
Source: RNAcentral
GUACACGCUGUGACUAGCAUAUCAAUAAGCGGAGGAAAAGAAACUAACAAGGAUUCCCUUAGUAACGGCGAGUGAAGCGGGAAGAGCUCAAAUUUGAAAUCUUCAAGGUCUUACCUUGACGAAUUGUAGUUUAAAGAAGUGCUUUCUGCUGAAGUUUUGGUAAAAGUUCUUUGGAAUAGGACAUCAUAGAGGGUGAGAAUCCCGUAUUUGACCAUUAUUUUCAGCUUUGUGAUACACUUUCAAAGAGUCGGAUUGUUUGGGAAUGCAGUCCAAAAUGGGUGGUAAAUUUCAUCUAAAGCUAAAUAUUGGCGAGAGACCGAUAGCGAACAAGUACCGUGAGGGAAAGAUGAAAAGAACUUUGAAAGGAGAGUUAAACAGUACGUGAAAUUGUCAAAAGGGAAGCGUUUGACACCAGUGUUGUUUUCUCGAAAAUCAAUUAAAAAUGGCUCGAUUUUGUAUUGCUGAGACCUUAAAAGCUCACUGUACAUUUUUCGUGUCUUUUUUAAUGCACUUUUCGUUUAACAAGUCAACAUCAGUUUCUUUUGUUGUAAAAGGGUCAUUGGAAGGUGGCUUUCUUUUCGGAGAAAGUGUUUAUAGCCUUUGGCCUCUGCAAUCGGAGAGACUGAGGUCUGCAGCGUAGACUCUUCGGGGUUAGAUACAUUUGUGCUAAGUAUAGCUUUUUAUAGACAACUUGUUGACUAUAAUUAGUCUUGUAGCUUACUCGCUUAUGCUAUUUUACCUACGCUUAGGAUGUUGAUCUACAGAGCGAGAGU